This 506-nucleotide ribosomal RNA is filed under the name uncultured bacterium. RNAcentral describes it as "partial 16S ribosomal RNA". It matches the Rfam family "Bacterial small subunit ribosomal RNA", at positions 29 to 523 of the family's 1533-position model. The record is from RNAcentral.
AUUGAACGCUGGCGGCAUGCCUAACACAUGCAAGUCGAACGGCAGCAUGGUCUAGCUUGCUAGACUGAUGGCGAGUGGCGAACGGGUGAGUAAUGCGCAGGAAUAUACCUUAAAGACUGGGACAACUUGGGGAAACUCAAGCUAAUACCGGAUGAGCUCUGAGGAGGAAAGCUGGGGACCGAGAGGCCUGGCGCGUUAGGAAUAGCCUGCGUCCGAUUAGCGAGUUGGUGGGGUAAAGGCCUACCAAGGCUGUGAUCGGUAGCUGGUCUGAGAGGAUGGUCAGCCACACUGGGACUGAGACACGGCCCAGGCUCCUACGGGAGGCAGCAGUGGGGAAUAUUGGACAAUGGGGGGAACCCUGAUCCAGCAAUGCCGCGUGUGUGAAGAAGGCCUGAGGGUUGUAAAGCACUUUCGGUGGGGAGGAGGAUUGAUUGGUUAAGAGCUGAUUGAUUGGACGUUACCCACAGAAGAAGCACCGGCUAACUCCGUGCCAGCAGCCGCGGUAA